CCGGCACGGGUGAGUAACACGUAUCCAACCUGCCGUCUACCCUUGGCCAGCCUUCUGAAAGGAAGAUUAAUCCAGGAUGGCAUCAUGAGUUCACAUGUCCGCAUGAUUAAAGGUAUUUUCCGGUAGACGAUGGGGAUGCGUUCCAUUAGGCAGUUGGUGAGGUAACGGCUCACCAAACCUUCGAUGGAUAGGGGUUCUGAGAGGAAGGUCCCCCACAUUGGAACUGAGACACGGUCCAA
Molecule: ribosomal RNA, 239 nt
Filed under: uncultured bacterium
Lineage: Bacteria
Description: partial 16S ribosomal RNA
Rfam family: Bacterial small subunit ribosomal RNA
Source: RNAcentral